AAUGUGUGAACUGCAGGAAAACCUCUGGAGCCUCAAUGAGACAAGACAAGAUUCAGUUUUUCGUCUUCAGAUGUGUCUGGUCUUCUGUCCAAAUCUCAUCAUGUUCUUUGCUUUUAUCUUCUGGGGUGUUUCUGAAGGAUCUGUGAAUGAGACUGUCUCCUGUUGUGCUCUUUAUUUACUCAGACCUCUCACGUUACUCUGGGCGGCUCCAUAUAUAAAUGAUUUUCAAG
Molecule: non-coding RNA, 230 nt
Organism: Misgurnus anguillicaudatus (oriental weatherfish)
Lineage: Eukaryota; Metazoa; Chordata; Actinopteri; Cypriniformes; Cobitidae
Source: RefSeq, a predicted model, not a curated record